RNAcentral lists this unclassified non-coding RNA (300 nucleotides) under uncultured fungus. Its description in RNAcentral is "sequence contains ITS2". The stretch from base 1 to 52 matches the Rfam family "5.8S ribosomal RNA", at positions 103 to 154 of the family's 154-position model. Lineage: Eukaryota; Fungi. The record is from RNAcentral.
AACGCACCUUGCGCUCCUUGGUAUUCCGAGGAGCAUGCCUGUUUGAGUGUCAUGAAAUUCUCAACCUCUCUAGUUUUUUUUAACUGGUUAGGCUUGGACCAUGGAAGUUGCUGGUUCUCUAUAUGAAACAGCUCUUCUCAAAUAUAUUAGCAAAAGACUGCUGCUGACCAACUCUGGUAUGAUAAUUAUCUAUAUCACCGCUGAUCAGUUCCCUUUAUCGGGAGGUCUUGCUUCUAAUCGUCUUUUAGACAACUUGAUAACUUUGACCUCAAAUCAGGUAGGACUACCCGCUGAACUUAA